RNAcentral lists this ribosomal RNA (588 nucleotides) under uncultured bacterium. Its description in RNAcentral is "partial 16S ribosomal RNA". It matches the Rfam family "Bacterial small subunit ribosomal RNA", at positions 355 to 1375 of the family's 1533-position model. The record is from RNAcentral.
UGGGGAAUUUUGGACAAUGGGCGAAAGCCUGAUCCAGCAAUGCCGCGUGUGUGAAGAAGGCCUUCGGGUUGUAAAGCACUUUUGUCCGGAAAGAAAUCCUUGGCUCUAAUACAGUCGGGGGAUGACGGUACCGGAAGAAUAAGCACCGGCUAACUACGUGCCAGCAGCCGCGGUAAUACGUAGGGUGCAAGCGUUAAUCGGAAUUACUGGGCGUAAAGCGUGCGCAGGCGGUUUGCUAAGACCGAUGUGAAAUCCCCGGGCUCAACCUGGGAACUGCAUUGGUGACUGGCAGGCUAGAGUAUGGCAGAGGGGGGUAGAAUUCCACGUGUAGCAGUGAAAUGCGUAGAGAUGUGGAGGAAUACCGAUGGCGAAGGCAGCCCCCUGGGCCAAAUACUGACGCUCAUGCACGAAAGGCGUGGGGAGCAAACAGGAUUAGAUACCCUGGUAGUCCACGCCCUAAACGAUGUCAACUAGUUGUUGGGGAUUCAUUUCCUUAGUAACGUAGCUAACGCGUGAAGUUGACCGCCUGGGGGAGUACGGUCGCAAGAUUAAAACUUAAAUGAAUUGACGGGGUCAUAGCUGUUUCCU